Long non-coding RNA from Epinephelus fuscoguttatus (brown-marbled grouper), 377 nucleotides. RefSeq lists it as uncharacterized. The transcript has 3 exons. Lineage: Eukaryota; Metazoa; Chordata; Actinopteri; Perciformes; Serranidae. The record is from RefSeq and is a predicted model, not a curated record.
CUGCUGGGGAGGAGACCCGGUUAACUGCUGCUGGGUGUGGGCCCGGUGCUGGAGCUCCAGAGACACGGACUGCUGCUGUUGUUGCUGCUGCUGCUGCUGUUCCAGCUUGAGGAUAUCCUUGACAGAAAACGGCGUGGAGGAAGACUUGAGGGUGCUGAGUUGACUCUUCUGGAGGCCGCUCCCAUCGCUGGCUCCUCACAAGGACAUGAAGCUGAGGAGCUCAGCCUGUUCAGAAGAUGGAGAGAAAGUUCCCACUCACACGACCUCUGACAGCCCUGAUGAAUUAACAAUAAGGGCAGAAAGAUUCCCUGCAACUUGUUAACCACAAGCUGCCAUAUGCGCACAUAAUCUGCUAAUUUAUUUUUUCAAUUAUUGUC